Molecule: ribosomal RNA, 413 nt
Filed under: uncultured beta proteobacterium Ch1E
Lineage: Bacteria; Pseudomonadati; Pseudomonadota; Betaproteobacteria
Description: bacterial SSU rRNA
Rfam family: Bacterial small subunit ribosomal RNA
Source: RNAcentral
CUUUUGGAGCNGCCGAUGUCUGAUUAGCUAGUUGGUAAAGGUAAUGGCUUACCAAGGCGACGAUCAGUAGUUGGUCUGAGAGGACGGCCAGCCACACUGGGACUGAGACACGGCCCAGACUCCUACGGGAGGCAGCAGUGGGGAAUUUUGGACAAUGGGCGCAAGCCUGAUCCAGCAAUGCCGCGUGAGUGAAGAAGGCCUUCGGGUUGUAAAGCUCUUUCAGUCGAGAAGAAAAGGUUGUGACUAAUAAUCACAACUAAUGACGGUAUCGACAGAAGAAGCACCGGCUAACUACGUGCCAGCAGCCGCGGUAAUACGUAGGGUGCGAGCGUUAAUCGGAAUUACUGGGCGUAAAGGGUGCGCAGGCGGUUUUGUAAGUCAGAUGUGAAAUCCCCGGGCUUAACCUGGGAACU